RNAcentral lists this ribosomal RNA (262 nucleotides) under uncultured prokaryote. RNAcentral's name for it is "partial 16S ribosomal RNA". It matches the Rfam family "Bacterial small subunit ribosomal RNA", at positions 524 to 784 of the family's 1533-position model. The record is from RNAcentral.
UACGUAGGGACGAGCGUUGUCCGGAAUUACUGGGUCGUAAAGGGCGCGCAGGCUGUAGGAUCAAGUCAGCUGUGAAAUGUCUGGGCUUAAACCCGGGCAUGCGGUUGAAACUGAUGUACUGGAGUGCUGUAGAGGCAAGUGGAAUUCCCAGUGUAGCGGUGAAAUGCGUAGAUAUUGGGAAGAACACCGGUGGCGAAGGCGACUUGCUGGGCAGCAACUGACGCUGAGGCGCGAAAGCCAGGGGAGCAAACGGGAUUAGAUA